AAACCAACAAGCUUGCUUGUUGGGGUUGUAGGACACUCUAUACGGAGUUACAAAGGACGACAUUAGACGAAUCAUCUGGAAAGAUGAAUCAAAGAAGGUAAUAAUCCUGUAGUCGAAAAUGUUGUCUCUCUUGAGUGGAUCCUGAGUACGACGGAGCACGUGAAAUUCCGUCGGAAUCUGGGAGGACCAUCUCCUAAGGCUAAAUACUCUCUAGUGACCGAUAGUGAACCAGUACCGUGAGGGAAAGGUGAAAAGCACCCCGGAAGGGGAGUGAAAUAGAACCUGAAACCGUGUGCUUACAAGUAGUCAGAGCCCGUUAAUGGGUGAUGGCGUGCCUUUUGUAGAAUGAACCGGCGAGUUACGAUUUGAUGCAAGGUUAAGCAGUAAAUGUGGAGCCGUAGCGAAAGCGAGUCUGAAUAGGGCGUUUAGUAUUUGGUCGUAGACCCGAAACCAGGUGAUCUACCCUUGGUCAGGUUGAAGUUCAGGUAACACUGAAUGGAGGACCGAACCGACUUACGUUGAAAAGUGAGCGGAUGAACUGAGGGUAGCGGAGAAAUUCCAAUCGAACCUGGAGAUAGCUGGUUCUCUCCGAAAUAGCUUUAGGGCUAGCCUCAAGUGAUGAUUAUUGGAGGUAGAGCACUGUUUGGACGAGGGGCCCCUCUCGGGUUACCGAAUUCAGACAAACUCCGAAUGCCAAUUAAUUUAACUUGGGAGUCAGAACAUGGGUGAUAAGGUCCGUGUUCGAAAGGGAAACAGCCCAGACCACCAGCUAAGGUCCCAAAAUAUAUGUUAAGUGGAAAAGGAUGUGGCGUUGCCCAGACAACUAGGAUGUUGGCUUAGAAGCAGCCAUCAUUUAAAGAGUGCGUAAUAGCUCACUAGUCGAGUGACACUGCGCCGAAAAUGUACCGGGGCUAAACAUAUUACCGAAGCUGUGGAUUGUCCUUUGGACAAUGGUAGGAGAGCGUUCUAAGGGCGUUGAAGCAUGAUCGUAAGGACAUGUGGAGCGCUUAGAAGUGAGAAUGCCGGUGUGAGUAGCGAAAGACGGGUGAGAAUCCCGUCCACCGAUUGACUAAGGUUUCCAGAGGAAGGCUCGUCCGCUCUGGGUUAGUCGGGUCCUAAGCUGAGGCCGACAGGCGUAGGCGAUGGAUAACAGGUUGAUAUUCCUGUACCACCUAUAAUCGUUUUAAUCGAUGGGGGGACGCAGUAGGAUAGGCGAAGCGUGCGAUUGGAUUGCACGUCUAAGCAGUAAGGCUGAGUAUUAGGCAAAUCCGGUACUCGUUAAGGCUGAGCUGUGAUGGGGAGAAGACAUUGUGUCUUCGAGUCGUUGAUUUCACACUGCCGAGAAAAGCCUCUAGAUAGAAAAUAGGUGCCCGUACCGCAAACCGACACAGGUAGUCAAGAUGAGAAUUCUAAGGUGAGCGAGCGAACUCUCGUUAAGGAACUCGGCAAAAUGACCCCGUAACUUCGGGAGAAGGGGUGCUCUUUAGGGUUAACGCCCAGAAGAGCCGCAGUGAAUAGGCCCAAGCGACUGUUUAUCAAAAACACAGGUCUCUGCUAAACCGUAAGGUGAUGUAUAGGGGCUGACGCCUGCCCGGUGCUGGAAGGUUAAGAGGAGUGGUUAGCUUCUGCGAAGCUACGAAUCGAAGCCCCAGUAAACGGCGGCCGUAACUAUAACGGUCCUAAGGUAGCGAAAUUCCUUGUCGGGUAAGUUCCGACCCGCACGAAAGGCGUAACGAUUUGGGCACUGUCUCAACGAGAGACUCGGUGAAAUCAUAGUACCUGUGAAGAUGCAGGUUACCCGCGACAGGACGGAAAGACCCCGUGGAGCUUUACUGUAGCCUGAUAUUGAAAUUCGGCACAGCUUGUACAGGAUAGGUAGGAGCCUUUGAAACGUGAGCGCUAGCUUACGUGGAGGCGCUGGUGGGAUACUACCCUAGCUGUGUUGG
RNAcentral lists this ribosomal RNA (1946 nucleotides) under Staphylococcus aureus. RNAcentral describes it as "bacterial LSU rRNA". It matches the Rfam family "Bacterial large subunit ribosomal RNA", at positions 271 to 2217 of the family's 2925-position model. Lineage: Bacteria; Bacillati; Bacillota; Bacilli; Caryophanales; Staphylococcaceae. The record is from RNAcentral.